AGAGUUUGAUCAUGGCUCAGGAUGAACGCUGGCGGCGUGCCUGAUACAUGCAAGUCGAACGGACCAGCUUGUCAGGGAGGUUCUGCAAAGAAAGGGACUGACAUAGCUGGUUAGUGGCGAACGGGUGAGUAACACGUAGGUAUCUACCCCGAGGUGGGGAAUAACUGUUCGAAAGGGCAGCUAAUUCCGCAUGUGCUCCGGGAGGAGGAAAGGGCGAGAGCCCGUCUCGGGAUGAGCCUGCGGCCGAUUAGCUAGUUGGUGAGGUAAAGGCUCACCAAGGCGACGAUCGGUAGCUGGUCUGAGAGGAUGAUCAGCCACACUGGAACUGCGGCACGGUCCAGACUCCUACGGGAGGCAGCAGUAAGGAAUAUUGCACAAUGGGCGAAAGCCUGAUGCAGCAACGCCGCGUGAGCGAAGAAGGCCUUCGGGUCGUAAAGCUCUUUUCUAGGGGAAGAGGAAGGACGGUACCCUAGGAACAAGUCUCGGCUAACUACGUGCCAGCAGCCGCGGUAAAACGUAGGAGGCGAGCGUUAUCCGGAUUUAUUGGGCGUAAAGGGCAAGUAGGCGGUAGGCAAAGUUGGUUGUGACAUCUCCCGGCUCAACUGGGAGGGUGCGGCCAAAACUAGCAUACUAGAGGGCAGAAGAGGGAAGUGGAAUUCCUGGUGUAGCGGUGGAAUGCUCAGAUACCAGGAGGAACACCAGUGGCGAAGGCGGCUUCCUGGUCUGCACCUGACGCUGAGAGGCGAAAGCUAGGGGAGCGAACGGGCUUAGAUACCCCGGUAGUCCUAGCCGUAAACGUUGGAUACUGGGUAUUUGGGAGGUAAGACUUCUGAGUGCCGAAGCAAACGCGUUAAGUAUCCCGCCUGGGGACUACGGCCGCAAGGUUAAAACUCAAAUGAAUUGACGG
This 907-nucleotide ribosomal RNA is filed under the name uncultured bacterium. RNAcentral's name for it is "bacterial SSU rRNA". It matches the Rfam family "Bacterial small subunit ribosomal RNA", at positions 8 to 916 of the family's 1533-position model. The record is from RNAcentral.